This 1902-nucleotide ribosomal RNA is filed under the name Triticum aestivum (bread wheat). Its description in RNAcentral is "partial small subunit ribosomal RNA". The record is from RNAcentral. Lineage: Eukaryota; Viridiplantae; Streptophyta; Magnoliopsida; Poales; Poaceae.
AUGAAGAUACAUAUUCAAUUCCUUCGAUCAAGUGGAAAGGCACUAAAUGUGUUUAUAGGCCACUUUUGUUCUAAAUGCACUAAACAAGAAGAUAGUGCCACCUCGAAAAGCCAGACCACUGAUGGCACGUGUAUACAUGGGUUAAUCGCACCGUCCAGCAAGGAUGAAUUGUCGGCUGUACCUGAAGUUGCUGGUGAUGACAGAAAUACAGAAGUGCCUAAUGUCCAGUUGAAAGAGAAGCCAGUUCUCGGUUUUGACCCUCCUAGGAAGCCGAGGGCAAGACAUAGACUCAAAAUCUGGAUCAGCACUCGGCACAAUGGCAUAAUUGGACGGGCGAAGCGGUUAUCAGCUGAACAUUUGAAUACUGGCUGGCCAGAUUGGCUUGUGACUGUGGCACCUGAGGCAGUGCAAGGCUGGGCCCCACUGCGAGCUGAUUCGUUUGAGAGAUUAAGUAAGAUUGGACAAGGGACUUAUAGUAGUGUUUACAAAGCUCGGGAUCUUAGAACAGCCAAAAUUGUUGCGCUCAAGAAGGUUCGGUUUGUCAAUACAGAUCCUGAAAGUGUGCGCUUUAUGGCUAGAGAAAUAUGUGUUCUUCGGAAACUCAAUCAUCCCAAUGUUAUAAAGUUGGAAGGGAUAGUAACAUCUCCUGUUUCACAAAACCUAUAUCUCGUCUUUGAAUACAUGGAACAUGACCUUGUUGGCCUUGCUGCAACUCCAGAACUCAAGGUCACCGAGUCACAGGUCAAGUGCUUGAUGCAACAGAUACUUAGUGGCCUUGAUCAUUGCCACAGCAAAGGAAUUCUUCAUCGUGACAUGAAGGGCUCCAAUCUCUUGAUUGAUAGCAAUGGUGUUUUGAAGAUUGCUGACUUUGGCUUAGCAACAUUUUAUGAUCCUGAGAGUCGGCAACCACUGACAAGCCGUGUUGCAACAUUGUGGUACAGACCACCGGAACUUCUGCUUGGUGCCACCAGGUACAGUGCUGCUGUGGAUAUGUGGAGUACAGGGUGCAUUUUUGGGGAAUUGCUGACUGCCAAGCCAGUCAUGCCAGGCAGAACUGAGGUGGAGCAAAUUCACAAGAUUUUCAAGCUCUGUGGAUCACCUUCUGACGAGUACUGGCAGAAAUUGGAAGUGCCCCCAACAGGGAUGUUCAAGCCCCUGUGCCAGUAUAAGCGGUGCAUUGCCGAGAAUUUCAAAGAUUUACCUCCAUUAGCUCUAGUUCUUCUAGAUAACUUGCUUGCAUUAGAACCAGAAGCUCGUGGAACAGCUGCCUCGAGUCUUCAGAGUGACUUUUUCAGAACAGAGCCACUUGCUUGCAGCCCUUCGGACUUGCCAAAGUGUCCACCGAGCAAAGAAUAUGAUGCUAGACUCCGACAAGAGGAAGCAAGAAGACAAAGAAGGGCAGAAUCUGUUCGAUCAGGAAUUGAGAAUCCUAGAGAAAACCUUGCUGCAUAUGGUUCUAUUAAACCGCAGAGGCUUCAGCAUACCAAAACAAGGUUCAAUAGCGCACAUCUCAAUCCAAAGGAUGAUCAACUGACGUUGGCUACUGAGGUACAACCUCUAGGGUUUGAUUCCACAUGGAACAAGGGAGGUAACAAUUAUAUGGACCAUCACGAAGUACCUGAACGCUACAAAUCUGGCCGAUUGGCAAAUUCCAACAUUUCAAGGACAAAGGGCUCAGACAUGUUUAAACCUGAAUCGACUGGCGUAGGGAACAUUAUGCCUGCUUCUCACAACAAAGAGAUGGGAGUAAAAGGCCCAAUGGUGGACUACAAGGGUAAGAGCAAAGUAGUCAAUUUCUCUGGUCCAGUGGCUACUCAAGAUGGGAACAUACAGGAUAUGCUUAGAGAACAUGAGCGGAAUGUUCAGGAAGCGGUGCGCAAAGCGCGCUGCAUCAAGAGUUGA